Enhydra lutris kenyoni (northern sea otter) is the source of this 587-nucleotide RNA transcript. Lineage: Eukaryota; Metazoa; Chordata; Mammalia; Carnivora; Mustelidae. The record is from RefSeq and is a predicted model, not a curated record.
GGUCCGUGAGCCCGCUCCCCGCCGACAACAUGCUUCCCUUGUCGCUGCUGAAGACGGCUCAGAAUCAUCCCAUGUUGGUGGAACUAAAAAAUGGGGAGACAUACAACGGGCACCUGGUGAGCUGUGAUAACUGGAUGAACAUUAACCUUCGAGAGGUGAUCUGCACAUCCAGGGACGGGGACAAGUUUUGGCGGAUGCCAGAGUGCUAUAUCCGCGGCAGCACCAUCAAGUACCUGCGCAUCCCCGACGAGAUCAUUGACAUGGUCAAGGAGGAGGUGGUGGCCAAGGGCCGCGGCCGCGGUGGCCUGCAGCAGCAGAAGCAGCAGAAGGGCCGAGGCAUGGGGGGCGCUGGGCGAGGUGUGUUUGGUGGCCGGGGCCGCAGUGGGAUCCCAGGCAGAGGUCAGCGGGAAAAGAAGCCAGGCAGGCAGGUGGGCAAACAGUGAGCCGCCCUCCGUUCUCGAGAGACUGAGCUGCCACACUGCUCGCCAAGGCUGUGUUUCUACUCUCUGGUUCACAAGUGUGUUCAGAACAAAAAGAAGCAGGUGUUGGGGAAGAGCCCCCCUCUCCGCCUGUCAUUCUGUGAUCCU